CCUACGGGUGGCAGCAGUGAGGAAUAUUGGUCAAUGGGCUUACGCCUGAACCAGCCAAGUCGCGUGAGGGAAGACUGCCCUAUGGGUUGUAAACCUCUUUUGUCAGGGAGCAACGCCGGCUACGUGUAGCCGGACUGAGAGUACCUGAAGAAAAAGCAUCGGCUAACUCCGUGCCAGCAGCCGCGGUAAUACGGAGGAUGCGAGCGUUAUCCGGAUUUAUUGGGUUUAAAGGGUGCGUAGGCGGAAUGUCAAGUCAGCGGUAAAAUUUCGGGGCUCAACCCCGUCGUGCCGUUGAAACUGGCGUUCUUGAGUGAGCGAGAAGUAUGCGGAAUGCGUGGUGUAGCGGUGAAAUGCAUAGAUAUCACGCAGAACUCCGAUUGCGAAGGCAGCAUACCGGCGCUCAACUGACGCUCAUGCACGAAAGCGUGGGUAUCGAACAGGAUUAGAUACCCGAGUAGUC
RNAcentral lists this ribosomal RNA (460 nucleotides) under uncultured bacterium. RNAcentral's name for it is "partial 16S ribosomal RNA". It matches the Rfam family "Bacterial small subunit ribosomal RNA", at positions 338 to 795 of the family's 1533-position model. The record is from RNAcentral.